This 399-nucleotide ribosomal RNA is filed under the name Triticum aestivum (bread wheat). RNAcentral describes it as "partial small subunit ribosomal RNA". The record is from RNAcentral. Lineage: Eukaryota; Viridiplantae; Streptophyta; Magnoliopsida; Poales; Poaceae.
GGAAGGAGAAGCGAAGAUAAGGAUACCUGGUGGUGGAAUGAUGAUGUCCAGAAGGCGAUUAAAGAGAAGAAAGAUUGCUUCAGACGCCUAUACCUGGAUAGGAGUGCAGACAACAUAGAGAAGUACAAGAUGGCGAAGAAGGCUGCAAAGCGAGCUGUUGGUGAAGCAAGGGGUCGGGCAUAUGAGGACCUCUACCAACGGUUAGGCAUGAAGGAAGGCGAAAGGGACAUCUAUAAGAUGGCCAAGAUCCGAGAGAGGAAGACGAGGGACAUUGGCCAAGUCAAAUGCAUCAAGGACGGAGCAGGCCAACUCUUGGUGAAGGACGAGGAGAUUAAGCAUAGAUGGCGGGAGUACUUCGACAAGCUGUUCAAUGGGGAGAAUGAGAGUUCUACCAUUGAA